GUUGUGGCUCAGUGGGAGAGUGUUUGCCUGGCAUGUAUGAGGCCCUGGGUUCAAUUCUCAGCACAACA
Molecule: transfer RNA, 68 nt
Filed under: Marmota monax (woodchuck)
Lineage: Eukaryota; Metazoa; Chordata; Mammalia; Rodentia; Sciuridae
Rfam family: tRNA
About the family: Transfer RNA (tRNA) molecules are approximately 80 nucleotides in length. Their secondary structure includes four short double-helical elements and three loops (D, anti-codon, and T loops).
Source: Rfam by way of RNAcentral